UGAUCGAUGAUACCCAUGCUUCUAGCUUUA
RNAcentral lists this non-coding RNA (30 nucleotides) under Rattus norvegicus (Norway rat). Lineage: Eukaryota; Metazoa; Chordata; Mammalia; Rodentia; Muridae. The record is from RNAcentral.